This 1019-nucleotide ribosomal RNA is filed under the name Colletotrichum gloeosporioides. Its description in RNAcentral is "SSU rRNA". It matches the Rfam family "Eukaryotic small subunit ribosomal RNA", at positions 74 to 1104 of the family's 1831-position model. Lineage: Eukaryota; Fungi; Ascomycota; Sordariomycetes; Glomerellales; Glomerellaceae. The record is from RNAcentral.
UUAUACAGCGAAACUGCGAAUGGCUCAUUAUAUAAGUUAUCGUUUAUUUGAUAGUACCUUACUACUUGGAUAACCGUGGUAAUUCUAGAGCUAAUACAUGCUAAAAAUCCCGACUUACGAAGGGAUGUAUUUAUUAGAUUAAAAACCAAUGCCCUUCGGGGCUCACUGGUGAUUCAUAAUAACUUCUCGAAUCGCAUGGCCUUGCGCCGGCGAUGGUUCAUUCAAAUUUCUUCCCUAUCAACUUUCGAUGCUAGAGUAGUGUUCUAGCAUGGUUACAACGGGUAACGGAGGGUUAGGGCUCGACCCCGGAGAAGGAGCCUGAGAAACGGCUACUACAUCCAAGGAAGGCAGCAGGCGCGCAAAUUACCCAAUCCCGACACGGGGAGGUAGUGACGAUAAAUACUGAUACAGGGCUCUUUUGGGUCUUGUAAUUGGAAUGAGUACAAUUUAAAUCCCUUAACGAGGAACAAUUGGAGGGCAAGUCUGGUGCCAGCAGCCGCGGUAAUUCCAGCUCCAAUAGCGUAUAUUAAAGUUGUUGUGGUUAAAAAGCUCGUAGUAGAACCUUGGGCCUGGCUGGCCGGUCCGCCUCACCGCGUGCACUGGUCCGGCCGGGCCUUUCCCCCUGUGGAACCUCAUGCCCUUCACUGGGUGUGUGGGAAAACAGGACUUUUACUUUGAAAAAAUUAGAGUGCUCCAGGCAGGCCUAUGCUCGAAUACAUUAGCAUGGAAUAAUAGAAUAGGACGUGUGGUUCUAUUUUGUUGGUUUCUAGGACCGCCGUAAUGAUUAAUAGGGACAGUCGGGGGCAUCAGUAUUCAAUUGUCAGAGGUGAAAUUCUUGGAUUUAUUGAAGACUAACUACUGCGAAAGCAUUUGCCAAGGAUGUUUUCAUUUAUCAGGAACGAAAGUUAGGGGAUCGAAGACGAUCAGAUACCGUCGUAGUCUUAACCAUAAACUAUGCCGACUAGGGAUCGGACGAUGUUAUUUUUUGACUCGUUCGGCACCUUACGAGAAAUCAAAGU